AUAACAUAACGGGGUCCUUUAUGUAACUGGAUUCCCCGUAACUGGAACGAGUAGACUCUAAAUGAUUUAACGUAGAUCUAUUGAAGGGUUAAGUCUAGUACCAGCAGCCGCGCUAAUUCCAGCUCCAA
Molecule: ribosomal RNA, 128 nt
Filed under: Stegodyphus mimosarum
Lineage: Eukaryota; Metazoa; Arthropoda; Arachnida; Araneae; Eresidae
Description: eukaryotic small subunit ribosomal RNA
Rfam family: Eukaryotic small subunit ribosomal RNA
Source: RNAcentral